This 432-nucleotide ribosomal RNA is filed under the name uncultured bacterium. Its description in RNAcentral is "bacterial SSU rRNA". It matches the Rfam family "Bacterial small subunit ribosomal RNA", at positions 958 to 1392 of the family's 1533-position model. The record is from RNAcentral.
AACGCGAAGAACCUUACCAGGGCUUGACAUCCCUCUGACCGCUCUAUAAAAGGAGCUUCCCUUCGGGGCAGAGGAGACAGGUGGUGCAUGGUUGUCGUCAGCUCGUGUCGUGAGAUGUUGGGUUAAGUCCCGCAACGAGCGCAACCCUUGUCAUUAGUUGCCAUCAUUCAGUUGGGCACUCUAGUGAGACUGCCGGGGAUAACUCGGAGGAAGGUGGGGAUGACGUCAAAUCAUCAUGCCCCUUAUGUUCUGGGCUACACACGUGCUACAAUGGCCGGUACAAAGAGCCGCAAUACCGCGAGGUGGAGCAAAUCUCAAAAACCGGUCCCAGUUCGGAUUGCAGGCUGCAACUCGCCUGCAUGAAGUCGGAGUUGCUAGUAAUCGCAGAUCAGAAUGCUGCGGUGAAUGCGUUCCCGGGUCUUGUACACACCG